RNAcentral lists this ribosomal RNA (253 nucleotides) under uncultured bacterium. RNAcentral's name for it is "partial 16S ribosomal RNA". It matches the Rfam family "Bacterial small subunit ribosomal RNA", at positions 524 to 776 of the family's 1533-position model. The record is from RNAcentral.
UACGUAGGCAGCAAGCGUUGUUCGGAGUUACUGGGCGUAAAGGGUGUGUAGGCGGUCUUCUAAGUUUGGUGUGAAAUCUCCCGGCUCAACUGGGAGGGUGCGCCGAAAACUGGGAGGCUAGAGUACUGGAUGGGAGAGUGGAAUUCCUGGUGUAGCGGUGAAAUGCGUAGAUAUCAGGAGGAACACCGGUGGUGUAGACGGCUCUCUGGACAGUAACUGACGCUGAGGAGCGAAAGCGUGGGGAGCGAACAGG